This 877-nucleotide unclassified non-coding RNA is filed under the name Hevea brasiliensis (rubber tree). The record is from RNAcentral. Lineage: Eukaryota; Viridiplantae; Streptophyta; Magnoliopsida; Malpighiales; Euphorbiaceae.
GGACGCAUUUACUUGGAUUUAUUCUAUUUGUGGCAUUAACCUUAUCAAAUGUAGUGCAAGUGCCUCAACUCUCUGAUUUCAUGACUAUGUUUAUUUGGAACUUUCCCAUGGGUGGUGAUGCAAAUGUGUCUAACAAUUCAAAGGAAUUUUUCCAAGGUCCAUCUAGACUAAUUGAUUUAAAGCAGGACCAACACUUACAAUUGGAGAACAUGAUGUCAACAAAGAGUAUACAAAGUGAAACAACAUGGCCAUUUUAUGUAUUCUUAGUUGGUUCAAUGUUUUGUCUACUUUCAAGUAGCAUUUGUCACCUCUUUUGUUGCCAUUCACACAAGCUAAACAUCCUUUUGUUGAGAAUGGAUUAUGUUGGAAUCACAGUCAUGAUAAUCACCUCAUUCUUCCCACCAAUUUACUACAUUUUCCAAUGUUCACCACAUUGGCAAAUUGUAUACCUAGGUUGUAUCACAAUCAUGGGAAUUUGCACCAUCAUCACCCUCCUAUCACCCGUGUUCUCGACCGGGAAGUAUCGAUCAUUUCGUGCUGUUCUGUUCAUGUCUAUGGGAUUCUUUGGCCUGAUACCUGCGGUUCAUGCAGUGGUACUGAACUGGGACGAACCAGAAAGAAAUGUCACGCUAGCAUAUGAAUUGGCGAUGGCAUUGUCUUAUUUAAUCGGAACUAUUUUUUAUAUGGCACGAAUCCCGGAGAGAUGGAGACCUGGAUUUUUUGACCUAGCUGGUCAUAGUCACCAAAUAUUUCAUGUAUUUGUGAUUUUAGGUGCAUUAUCACACUAUGGUGCUGCACAAGUGUUCUUGGAAUAUAGGAGUCGAUUGAGCUGUGACACAUAGUAAAUUACAAGACACUAUAAUUUAAUUUUAUCAAA